This 500-nucleotide ribosomal RNA is filed under the name Micromonospora sp. RNAcentral describes it as "bacterial SSU rRNA". It matches the Rfam family "Bacterial small subunit ribosomal RNA", at positions 99 to 614 of the family's 1533-position model. The record is from RNAcentral. Lineage: Bacteria; Bacillati; Actinomycetota; Actinomycetes; Micromonosporales; Micromonosporaceae.
CGAACGGGUGAGUAACACGUGAGCAACCUGCCCCAAGCUUUGGGAUAACCCCGGGAAACCGGGGCUAAUACCGAAUAGGACCUGGCCUCGCAUGGGGCUGGGUGGAAAGUUUUUCGGCUUGGGAUGGGCUCGCGGCCUAUCAGCUUGUUGGUGGGGUGAUGGCCUACCAAGGCGACGACGGGUAGCCGGCCUGAGAGGGCGACCGGCCACACUGGGACUGAGACACGGCCCAGACUCCUACGGGAGGCAGCAGUGGGGAAUAUUGCACAAUGGGCGGAAGCCUGAUGCAGCGACGCCGCGUGAGGGAUGACGGCCUUCGGGUUGUAAACCUCUUUCAGCAGGGACGAAGCGUAAGUGACGGUACCUGCAGAAGAAGCACCGGCCAACUACGUGCCAGCAGCCGCGGUAAGACGUAGGGUGCGAGCGUUGUCCGGAUUUAUUGGGCGUAAAGAGCUCGUAGGCGGCUUGUCGCGUCGACUGUGAAAACCCGCAGCUCAACU